GUACUCUGGUUUCCCUUAAAAUCACGUAUAAAUCUUUCGCCUUUUACUACAGAUUUUCGUGGAGGGAACAACUGAGUCUAUGAAAUAAUUUUUUAUAGUAAACUUUUUAAGAUGGGUUA
Molecule: small nuclear RNA, 119 nt
Organism: Nomia melanderi (Alkali bee)
Lineage: Eukaryota; Metazoa; Arthropoda; Insecta; Hymenoptera; Halictidae
Product: U5 spliceosomal RNA
Source: RefSeq, a predicted model, not a curated record